UUUGACGUUAGCGACAGAAGAAGCACCGGCUAACUCCGUGCCAGCAGCCGCGGUAAUACGGAGGGUGCGAGCGUUAAUCGGAAUUACUGGGCGUAAAGCGCAUGCAGGUGGUUUGUUAAGUCAGAUGUGAAAGCCCGGGGCUCAACCUCGGAAUUGCAUUUGAAACUGGCAGACUAGAGUACUGUAGAGGGGGGUAGAAUUUCAGGUGUAGCGGUGAAAUGCGUAGAGAUCUGAAGGAAUACCGGUGGCGAAGGCGGCCCCCUGGACAGAUACUGACACUCAGAUGCGAAAGCGUGGGGAGCAAACAGGAUUAGAUACCCUGGUAGUCCACGCCGUAAACGAUGUCUACUUGGAGGUUGUGGCCUUGAGCCGUGGCUUUCGGAGCUAACGCGUUAAGUAGACCGCCUGGGGAGUACGGUCGCAAGAUUAAAACUCAAAUGAAUUGACGGGGGCCCGCACAAGCGGUGGAGCAUGUGGUUUAAUUCGAUGCAACGCGAAGAACCUUACCUACUCUUGACAUCCAGAGAA
Molecule: ribosomal RNA, 528 nt
Filed under: Vibrio parahaemolyticus
Lineage: Bacteria; Pseudomonadati; Pseudomonadota; Gammaproteobacteria; Vibrionales; Vibrionaceae
Description: bacterial SSU rRNA
Rfam family: Bacterial small subunit ribosomal RNA
Source: RNAcentral